Molecule: ribosomal RNA, 468 nt
Filed under: uncultured bacterium
Lineage: Bacteria
Description: partial 16S ribosomal RNA
Rfam family: Bacterial small subunit ribosomal RNA
Source: RNAcentral
GACGAACGCUGGCGGCGUGCUUAACACAUGCAAGUCGAACGGAAAGGCCCUGCGUUUGUGGGGUGCUCGAGUGGCGAACGGGUGAGUAACACGUGAGUAACCUGCCCUUGACUUUGGGAUAACUUCAGGAAACUGGGGCUAAUACCGGAUAGGAGCUCCUGCUGCAUGGUGGGGGUUGGAAAGUUUCGGCGGUUGGGGUUGGACUCGUGGCUUAUCGGCUUGCUGGUGGGGUAGUGGCUUACCCAGGCUUGGGCGGGUAGCCGGCCUGGGAGGGUGAACGGGCACAAUACUCCUGAGAGACGGCCCAGACGGCUACAGGGGGCAGCGGUGGCAAGUAUUACCCAGUGAGCGCGCGCGUGAUGCAGAGGCGCCGGGUUCGGAAAGACGGUCUUCGGGUUGUAAACCGCUUUCGCCUAUGACGAAGCGUGAGUGACGGUAAUGAGUAAAGAAGCACCGGCUAACUACGUG